GUCCAGCUGACGUGUCCCAAAUAGGACGAAACGCGCAUUCUGGAU
Non-coding RNA from Schistosoma curassoni, 45 nucleotides. The record is from Rfam. Lineage: Eukaryota; Metazoa; Platyhelminthes; Trematoda; Strigeidida; Schistosomatidae.